GGUGGUGCAUGGCCGUUCUUAGUUGGUGGAGUGAUUUGUCUGGUUAAUUCCGAUAACGAACGAGACCUUAACCUGCUAACUAGUUCUCAAUACUCUGUAUUCUGCAACUUCUUAGAGGGACUAUGUAAAUCAAUUACAUGGAAGUUUGAGGCAAUAACAGGUCAGUGAUGCCCUUAUAUGUCCUGGGCUGCACGCGUGCUACACUGAUGCAUACAACAAGUGCCUAGCCAGACAUGGUAUGGCAAUCUCGAAUAUGCAUCGUGAUAGGGAUAGAUCUUUGCAAUU
RNAcentral lists this ribosomal RNA (285 nucleotides) under uncultured rumen protozoa. Its description in RNAcentral is "partial 18S ribosomal RNA". It matches the Rfam family "Eukaryotic small subunit ribosomal RNA", at positions 1276 to 1591 of the family's 1831-position model. The record is from RNAcentral.